AGAAGAGAUAUUUGUCUUUAAAUGUCUUUAUUUCUCAGAGCUUCCUGAUCUUGGCAGGAUGAGCAAGACAGAGGAUUGCAGUAACUAUUCUUAUCACACAUGUGGGAGUUCUCCCUGUGCACUUCCUCUACCAGUAGCUCCAACCACAUCUUGAGAAAUUUUUUACAAAAUGUGUUCGAUCUGACACAUUGCCUGGCAAAUGCACAGGAGAAUCUGGGGUUGAGCUCAGAAACACCAUCACCCUUUUCCUUCACCUCAGAACACUUCUUUGAAGACACUGAAGUCUCUGAAAAGAGGAGCUCCUGCCCCACCGAAGCCCAGAGAGGUCUGCUCUGCAGAUGCUCAAGGAAAGGUUCUUCCUGGAUCAGCAAAGCUUGAGAAAAACCACACACUGUGUCUGAUACUGCGAGAAUCCCCAUGUAUGUUAGCAGAUUAAAGAAUCUUAAACAUUUAUAAAGCCGCACUGGGUCCAAGGAGCCUUUCCCGGCCAGCCUGCAGGAGUGGAAGGAUCUCUGCGGGCAGCUGCUUUGAAAGUUACUUCUUUAAGGACAAGAACAAGAUGUUGCUUUUCAUUUCUUUUAAAACGCUUGUUCGUACCUGGCUCAGUGGCUGAGCAUUAAGCACAUGCCUGGGU
Pipistrellus kuhlii (Kuhl's pipistrelle) is the source of this 634-nucleotide long non-coding RNA. RefSeq lists it as uncharacterized. The record is from RefSeq and is a predicted model, not a curated record. Lineage: Eukaryota; Metazoa; Chordata; Mammalia; Chiroptera; Vespertilionidae. The transcript is spliced from 3 exons.